Non-coding RNA from Bos taurus (domestic cattle), 73 nucleotides. The record is from Rfam. Lineage: Eukaryota; Metazoa; Chordata; Mammalia; Artiodactyla; Bovidae.
UCCCUGGUGGUCCAAUGGCUAAGACUCUGAGCUCCCGAUGCAGGACACCAGGGUUCGAUCCCUGGUCAGGGAA